UACGGGGGGGGCAAGCGUUGUUCGGGAUUACUGGGCGUAAAGGGCUUGUAGGUGGCCAACUAAGUCAGACGUGAAAUCCCUCGGCUUAACCGGGGAACUGCGUCUGAUACUGGAUGGCUUGAGUGUGGGAGAGGGAUGCGGAAUUCCAGGUGUAGCGGUGAAAUGCGUAGAUAUCUGGAGGAACACCGGUGGCGAAGGCGGCAUCCUGGACCAUUACUGACGCUCAGGUGCGAAAGCGUGGGGAGCAAACAGG
RNAcentral lists this ribosomal RNA (253 nucleotides) under uncultured bacterium. Its description in RNAcentral is "partial 16S ribosomal RNA". It matches the Rfam family "Bacterial small subunit ribosomal RNA", at positions 524 to 776 of the family's 1533-position model. The record is from RNAcentral.